Molecule: RNA transcript, 7910 nt
Organism: Carcharodon carcharias (great white shark)
Lineage: Eukaryota; Metazoa; Chordata; Chondrichthyes; Lamniformes; Lamnidae
Gene: col5a1
Gene name: procollagen, type V, alpha 1
Exons: 68
Source: RefSeq, a predicted model, not a curated record
CACCAGAUCUCUUGCUUUUUUUUUGCAGAAUUGUUCAGCUGCAGGAGGAUCAGGGUUUCUGUCAGUCGGGAAGGACACAUUGCUGAGGCCGGGAGAGGCGGCGAGACCUGGGGCUGAGAUACCAGAAAGAAAGGAAAUUCCUUAUGGCUUCAUAGAUUUUCGCCCCAUCACUGAAUUUGCUGAUUCCCAAUUUGUGUAACUUUAUUUUGUAAAGCAGCUAGUUACAGGAGCUUUCAGGAUGGACAAUCGGACUCGGUGGAGGAGGAAGAGAUUUUGGGAUUCUGUUCUAAUAUUACAAUUUAUUCUUUCAUUAAUAACUUAUGGUAGUGCAGUGGAACCAGUGGACAUCCUGAAGAUUCUAGAACUUCACAAUAUCCCCGAAGGAAUACAGAAAACGAUAGGUAUUUGUGCCAACAGAAAAUCAACGAAGACUGCCGAUGUUGCCUAUAAAGUAACCAAGUCAGCCCAGCUCAGUGCUCCAACCAAACAGCUAUACCCAGAUUCAGCAUUCCCGGAAGAUUUCUCCAUCUUGUUGACAGUUCGUGCCCAGAAAGGGAAGGGGGCUUUCAUCCUGUCCCUCUACAACGAGCAGGGAAUCCAACAGCUGGGUGUGGAAGUCGCUCGCGGUCCCAUAUUCCUCUACGAAGACCAUUUAGGGAAGCCAAGCCCCGAGGAAUAUCCCGUUUUUAAUGGAGUCAACCUGGCUGAUGGGAAAUGGCAUCGGAUUGCAAUAAGUGUUCACAAGAAGACAGUCACCAUGAUCCUGGAUUGCAAAAAGAAGUUCAAUAAAUCACUGAACAGGAGCAAACAGCCAGUGAUUGACACAAACGGUAUUGUCGUGUUUGGGACGAGGAUACUGGAUGAAGAUGUUUUUGAGGGCGACAUCCAGCAACUCCUGAUCGUACCUGAUCACAGAGCAGCUUAUGAUUACUGUGAACAUUACAGCCCUGACUGUGAUAAUCCCCUACCCGACUCACCACAGUCUCAGGAUCCCAACUUUGAUGACUAUGACAAUUUGGAAGAGAGUUAUUAUUAUGAAUAUCCUUAUUAUGAAGAAUUCCCAGAUGAUUAUAAGGAAGCCCCCACUGAAACAAUUCCAGAAUAUGGAGAACAGAUCACAGGACCAAUCACUGCAGUGCCAGACCACCAGGAGAGUGAGACUGAAGCUAAGGAAGAAGUGUUUGAGGAAACUACAGUUACCAUCCCAGAAACCACGACUGCAGAAUACCCAACAGUAGUGACAAGCUAUUAUGAUAUCUACGGAGAGGACUAUUAUUAUCCAUUCACAGAUGAAAAAUUGGACAAAGAAGAUGAUGUAGCUUCAAGAAGAGAUUGGCCGGACAAUCAGACCCACACUGUUGGCAUCGAUGUGUUCAUCCACAAUGAGACUGUACUAGAAGAAAAUCCAGAGUACACUGAUGUGGAUUUGGAAGAGACGUCUGUUUCAGGGGAAACUGAAGACAAGUUCAACGUAACAACAAUCAAUGAAGAAGAUCCCAACUCAUUCUUUGAUGACUAUGAAGUUUAUUACGAUUAUGAGGAUCCUGAAGGUGGGUCAGAAGUUGGCCCAGUUUCACCUGCGCUUACAGAUACGGACUAUGGAAGGGCCAAUGGUCCAAGGGGUGAGAAGGGUCAGAAGGGUGAACCGGCCAUUAUUGAACCUGGAAUGUUGAUUGAAGGGCCUCCGGGCCCUGAAGGACCAUCUGGUAACCCUGGGCGCAGUGGCCCCCCUGGACCUCCAGGGCCAGUAGGUGAUCCAGGCUUGAGGGGACCCCGAGGACGAUCCGGACUUCCCGGAGCUGACGGAUUACCCGGACCACCAGGGACUAUGCUGAUGCUGCCUUUCCGGUUCACAGGAGGUGGCAGCGCUGGAGAAAAGGGGCCGAUGCUGUCAGCACAGGAGGCCCAGGCACAGGCAAUAUUACAGCAGGCCCGGCUGGCAUUGAGAGGCCCAACAGGACCAAUGGGAUUGACUGGCAGACCAGGCCCCAUUGGGCCUCCUGGAUACCUCGGAAUCAAGGGGGAAAUGGGAGACCUUGGCCCUCAGGGUCCAAGAGGUGCUCAAGGUCCACCUGGUCCUACAGGGAAACCAGGCCGCAGGGGUCGAUCAGGAUCUGAUGGAUCCAGAGGAAUGCCAGGCCCAUCUGGACGAAAGGGUGACCGAGGUUUUGAUGGACUUCCUGGGCUGCCGGGUGAGAAGGGAAACAGAGGGGAUGCAGGCCCACAGGGACCCCCUGGACCUCCAGGGGAGGAUGGAGAGAGGGGCGAUGACGGAGAAGUGGGUCCAAGAGGGUUACCUGGCGAACCAGGCCCCCGGGGAUUACUGGGACCAAAAGGACCUGCAGGAGUUCCAGGGCCCCCAGGAGUGACAGGCAUGGACGGUCACCAUGGCCCCAAGGGUAGUCAGGGUCCUCAAGGUGAACCCGGACCCCCAGGGCAGCAAGGAAAUCCUGGAGCUCAGGGUCUCCCAGGGCCACAGGGACCAAUUGGACCUCCAGGAACCAAAGGUCCCACUGGCAAACCAGGUCUACCAGGGUUACCAGGAUCAGACGGACCCCCGGGUCAUCCUGGCAAAGAAGGUCCCACUGGAGAGAAGGGAAGCCCGGGUGCAGCAGGGCCACAGGGGCCCAUUGGCUAUCCAGGGCCACGUGGGGUCAAGGGUGCUGAUGGUGUUCGUGGUUUUAUGGGACACAAAGGUGAGAAGGGUGAAGACGGCUUCCCAGGUUUCAAAGGCGACAUGGGAGUAAAGGGUGACAGAGGUGAGAUUGGCCCAGCAGGUCCCAGGGGAGAAGAUGGUCCCGAAGGUCCCAAGGGUCGUUUUGGGCCUUCAGGAGAUAUUGGUCCACCUGGAGCAGCUGGUGAAAAGGGAAAGCUCGGAGUUCCAGGCUUGCCGGGAUACCCAGGAAGACAAGGCCCAAAAGGUUCGAUUGGAUUCCCAGGAUUCCCAGGAGCGAAUGGCGAGAAAGGAGUGAGGGGCACUCCGGGAAAAGCAGGCCCAAGAGGACAGAGAGGCCCAACGGGUCCACGAGGUGAACGUGGUCCAAGAGGAUCAACAGGAAAAGCCGGCCCUAAGGGUAGCUCAGGCAAUGAUGGUCCACCUGGUCCUUCUGGUGAGAGGGGGCCGCCUGGACCUCAGGGACCAAUGGGAUUCGCUGGACCCAAAGGACCCCCUGGCCCAGCUGGUAAAGAUGGGUUACCUGGACACCCAGGGCAACGAGGUGAAACUGGUUUCCAAGGGAAAACUGGCCCACCUGGUCCUCCUGGAGUGGUUGGUCCACAAGGUUCCACAGGAGAGACUGGCCCCCUCGGGGAACGUGGUCACCCAGGACCCCCUGGUCCCCCUGGAGAACAAGGUCUGCCCGGCUCUGCUGGGAAAGAAGGUGCAAAGGGUGAUCCUGGUCCUGCAGGCCCUCCUGGGAAGGAUGGCCCACCAGGCCUCAGAGGAUUCACUGGUGAGCGUGGACUCGCUGGACCUCUCGGUCAGAUCGGUUUGAAAGGCAGUGAAGGUCCUCCUGGGCCCCCAGGGCCAUUGGGCUCUCCAGGUGACCGUGGACAGGCUGGGCCAGCAGGACCAAUAGGUCUCCCAGGACGACCUGGGCCUCAAGGUCCUCCAGGCCCUUCUGGUGAAAAGGGAGCCCCUGGCGAGAAGGGGCCUCAGGGACCAGCAGGUCGAGAUGGAAUUCAGGGUCCAGUCGGCCUCCCAGGUCCAGCUGGACCAUCGGGACCACCUGGUGAAGAUGGAGACAAGGGUGAAUCUGGUGAACCAGGACAAAAGGGGAGCAAAGGUGACAAGGGUGAACAGGGUCCACCUGGUCCUUCAGGACCUCAAGGCCCCAUAGGACAACCUGGGCCAGCUGGUGCUGAUGGUGAGCCUGGUCCUAGAGGGCAGCAAGGUCUCUUUGGCCAGAAAGGUGACGAAGGUCCAAGAGGUUUCCAUGGUCCUCCUGGUCCAGUUGGUCUUCAGGGAUUACCUGGCCCACCAGGUGAGAAAGGUGAGACAGGUGACGUGGGACCAAUGGGUCCACCUGGCCCUCCAGGACCCCGAGGCCCAUCUGGUGCUCCUGGGGCAGAUGGUCCACAAGGUCCUGCUGGAGGAAUUGGUAAUCCCGGAGCAGUGGGCGAGAAGGGUGAUACUGGUGAAGCAGGUGCACCGGGACCUCCAGGAUACUUGGGAAUGCCAGGGCCGAAAGGUGAACGGGGUGAGAAAGGUGAAUCUGGGCCAUCUGGUGCUGCUGGACCUCCAGGUCCAAAAGGUCCUCCUGGUGAUGAUGGCCCGAAGGGAAGCCCUGGUCCAGUUGGUUUCCCCGGUGACCCUGGCCCCCCUGGUGAAGCUGGACCUCCGGGUCAAGAUGGACCUUCAGGAGACAAAGGAGAAGACGGUGAAGCUGGGCAGAUUGGUUCCCCUGGUCCAACUGGUGAGGCAGGGCCGCCUGGUCCUCCAGGAAAGAGGGGUCCUCAUGGUCCAGCAGGUCCUGAAGGAAGACAAGGAGAGAAAGGAGCAAAGGGCGACCCCGGUGCUGAAGGUCCUGCUGGUAAGACAGGCCCAGUCGGCCCACAAGGAUCUCCAGGCAAACCGGGCUCUGAGGGGCUGCGAGGAAUCCCAGGCCCUGUUGGUGAGCAAGGUUUCCCAGGCCCUCCCGGUCCAACUGGUCCACCAGGCCCAAUGGGUCCUCCUGGAUUGCCAGGUCUGAAGGGUGAUCCUGGUACAAAGGGUGAGAAGGGACAUCCCGGUUUGAUUGGUUUGAUUGGGCCUCCAGGAGAACAGGGUGAGAAAGGUGACCGAGGCCUGCCUGGCCCUCAGGGGCCCGAAGGUUCAAAAGGAGAUACGGGUGUCCAUGGUCAGGCCGGUCCUAUUGGCCCUCCUGGUCCUCCGGGAUUAACUGGUCCACCUGGUCCUAAGGGUUCUAAAGGCUCCUCGGGCCUCACUGGUCCCAAAGGUGAAACUGGAAUACAAGGACCACCGGGUGCUCCUGGUCCUGCUGGUGAAGUCAUUCAGCCCUUCCCAAUCCAUUCUUCAAAGAGAGCUAAACGUUCCAUUGAUGCCAGCCAGCUUUUGGAAGAAGGAGUUCCUGAUAACUACCUGGACUAUGCAGAUGGAAUGGAAGAAAUCUUUGGUUCUCUGAACUCACUAAAACUGGAGAUUGAACAGAUGAAGCACCCAAUGGGAACACAGAACAAUCCUGCGCGUACCUGCAAGGACCUGCACCUCUGUCACCCUGACUUUCCUGACGGUGAAUACUGGAUUGAUCCAAACCAAGGCUGCUCCAGGGACUCGUUCAAAGUUUUCUGUAACCUCACAUCUGGAGGAGAAACUUGCAUCUUCCCAGAGAAGAAAUCUGAAGGAGCAAGAGUCACAUCUUGGCCCAAGGAGGUACCAGGCUCCUGGUUCAGUGAAUACAAGCGUGGUAAUCUGCUGUCCUAUACAGAUGCAGACAGUAAUCCAGUUGGAGUGGUACAGAUGACCUUCCUGAGGCUGUUGAGUGCCUCUGCCCACCAGAACCUGACCUACAACUGCCACCAAACUGUGGCCUGGUACGACUCGACCACAGACAAUUAUGACAAGGCCAUUCGUUUCCUGGGCUCGAACGAUGAAGAGAUGUCAUAUGACAACAACCCUUACAUCCAAGCCAUUGUAGACAAAUGUGCAACAAGGAAAGGCUAUCAGAAGACGAUAUUACAGAUUAAUACUCCCAAAGUGGAGCAGCUGCCCUUCAUCGACAUCAUGUUCAAUGACUUUGGAGAGUCAGGCCAGAAAUUUGGCUUUGAAAUUGGACCUGUCUGUUUCGUGGGAUAAAGAUUACAGCCUUCACAGAGAGAGACAAAAACUGUUUAAACACACACACACACACACACACACACACACACACACACACCUACACACACCCACUGACACUCACAAACGCACACAAACACAUGUGCACACACACAGAGGAAGAAUGAGAGAGUGCAGAAAGCAACAACACUGUAACCUCACUGAGCGAGUUGACAGACUGGAGAAAUGAAGCUGAGUUCUGACUUCACCCUUCACCUUCGAUAGGAAAACUGUACCUGGAAAUGAAUAUCCAGCUUUCGGCAAACAGGAACCUCCAGACUUUAAACUAGUGCGGUGAACAAUUAGACAACCUCGAGGCUGUUAAAUUCUAGCCCCCUCCCCACUCCCUCGCCCCCACACCCCCAAAGCUAAGUGAAGUUUUGAAAACCAACAGGAAAUCUCUCUGAUCAAGCAGCCACGAGUGGUCAGUCUCGGCCAGAGAAAGUCGGGUUCAUGUUUUGGGGUAACUCCGUUCCAGAGCGGCCCCUCCCAUUGUGAACAAUCAGCCACUUCUCUCCUUCUGAAACUGACUGAACCUCUCUCUCUCUCUGUACCUCCUGCAAUAUUUUGUGCUCUUAUUUCAGAUUCAUAGGUUUUUUUUAAAUCUCCUCAAAUAAAUGUUUUGAAUUGAAACCCUUCCUCAGAAAUGGUGCUGACAAUUUAUUAUUUCUUUUUGAAACAAAUUUUUGUACGUUUCUACGCCUUGCCAGAGGUGCCUGAAGAUUAACCAGAAAACUCUGUACGACGAGGAGACAAGGCGUUUUCCGAAGAUUUAGGUGCUAUUUAAACGUCUCGCCUGUGGUGCUAUUUUGUCCGAUUAAUGCUGUUGAUUUUAUUUACAAUGCACAACUGAUGUCCCUUGAAUGUUGUCCCAAGGAUCGAAGCUCCCUAAUGGUCCCACUGCCGCCUGAAACCCAGCUCUAUCAACAUUAUGCAUUCUGUUUCAUAUUCAUAUAUUCAGACUUUUUUUUCGAAGAACAGGAGAGUCUCCUUCAAUGUGAUCUCUCUCCCCCUCCCCUCUGUGUAAAUUGUGCAUUAUUUUCGAUUUCCAUUUUCAGAUUGAGUUUUUACAAGAGCAGGGAGUUGAGAACAGCCACUGCCAAUAACCAGCAGUGGGAUGUUUGUGGUGCUAAUUUAUGUAUUGGAUAGAAACAUCAAUCUAGAUCUUAUUGUUUUCAUUGAUAAAUUAUCCCUAAACAUUAGGGUAACAGCUUUCAACAGUCAUCCUGUGCUCACUUUUCAUCACAUCCUUUUCCAUCGUACUCUUUCUUUUGUUGAGUUUUGCAUUUUUUGCUGAUUAUUUUUUUGCUGCAGUUUGAGAUUGUUGGCCCCACAUCUCACUGCCUGGCCCUGAACUCCUAUCAUUCCAUUUAUUCUGAUCGUUUUAUCCAUCUCUUCCCUUCUCCUCACCCACUUCUCACUGCCUCACCUCUUACAGAGUGGCUUCUUUAUAUAUAUAUCUCUCUCUCUAUUCAUUUCUCAUUCGAUUUCUCUUUCUCUAUUGCAUCAUGUACUUUUUCUCUAGGCCUCUCUCACUCGCUGCUACUCUCUCUCUUCCUCACUAUCUUUCUCAAUCUCUUUUUCUCUCUCUCCAUCUCCCUAUCUCUCCCACUCACUGCCUCUUUUUCUCUCUCCAUCUCUCUCAUUCACUGUCUCUUUCUCUCUCUGUCCCACAUUCUGACACACUUUCAUUCUCUCACUGUCUGCUACUCUCUCUCACAUGAUCCCUCUCUCAUUCACACACAUACAGCUCUCACCGCACAGUCUCUCUCUAUCUCAGACACUCACUUUCCUGCUGUAUCUCUGUGUGUCUCCCACUCUCUCUGCCUCCCUCUCUCAUUCUCUCGGUUUCUCUCUCUCCCCCUCACUCUCUCUUCACUGCUAUCCAAGCCGGUAUUGCCUUUGCGUUAAAAAUACUUUUGUAAUUUUAUUUUUCUUAAGAAACAUGUGACUUGAACAUAAAAUAUUGUUAAUGAUGAACUGUUGGAGGGUUUUUUGGUACUUUUUAUUGGCCCUGAAUCUUUGAUCAGAUCGUUAUAAUUGUCAUGUGACAUAUUGUAAAUGUUUGAGAUCCCAAUAAACUUGUUCAUGAAACAAA